RNAcentral lists this long non-coding RNA (1224 nucleotides) under Anas zonorhyncha (Eastern spot-billed duck). RNAcentral describes it as "lncRNA (ENSAZOG00000013336.1)". Lineage: Eukaryota; Metazoa; Chordata; Aves; Anseriformes; Anatidae. The record is from RNAcentral.
CGUCCCCCUGCCAUAGCGCCCCCCCCUCUAAGGACACCCCCUCCCUAUAGGGACACCCCCUCUACAAGGACACCCCCCCCAACAAGGGCACCCCCCCGUCGCACCCCAUCCUGGGGGUCCCCGCCUCCUUCUCGCCCCGGGGGAGCCCCCGGGGUUCAGGGGGCGGCCGGGCCAGGCAGCCCCCGGGGGGGUCCCCACCGUCCCCCCCCUUCUCCCCGCUGCCGGGACGGCGCCGGCGGCGGAUUCGUUUGGAAGCCAGGGGAGGGCCGGGGCCAUCGAAACGGACCGAGCCCGGGCACCGCGACCGCCCCGACGGCGGGAGGACGCGCCGCCGCCUUCCCUGUCGGCGACACGGCUGUCGCGACAGAACCGGCAGCCCUUCGGGGAGCGGUAAAGCGGGGGCUUAACGCACCCGGCUGCGCGGAGCCCCACGACGGCCCUAUUCCCACGGAACCCCCACCUCGGCGCCAACGGGGAGCGCCGCCUCUAUCGCGACAGUCGCCGACGGGGCUCUGCGCGCAGCGGGCUCCAGCUCGGGGGGCCCGGCGGGAUGGGGCCCCCGACGCGCUCCCGGCUCAGGCGCGCUCCCGGGGGAGGCGGGGGGCGGCGGCGCUCACGGGCACGGGCGCGGACACGAGCGGGGGCUGCGCGCUCUGCCCCGCGCACACUCGCGCCCCGCUCCGCUCCCCGAAAAGCGCCGGUGCCGGUACCGGUGCUGGUGCCUCCGGUGCCCCGGUAGGUGCCGAGCACGGGGGGGGGGUCGCGGGGAGCCGGUACCCGGUUGACGGCAACCGCGGGGACGCGCUCCCGGUGCGCCCCGUCCGGGCGCGGAGAGCCCAGCACCGGGAACCGGGAACCGGGCACCGGACACCGGGAACCGGGCACCGGGAGCCGGCCCGCGGGUCUGGGGGGGGUCCCGUCGGGUCUCACGGACGCGGAGCUGGGGAUGGGGGGGAGCGACCCCCGCCGCGGCAUCGCCGGGAACCGGAGCGGGCGGGGAGGCUCCCGGGGAUCCCGGGGGCAAGGUCGGGGCUUGCCCCAACGGGACCGGGAGGACCGGGGCGGGUGCGCGGCGCCGUCGCCGGGAUUUCGUUGCCGUUCGUUUACCGGGACGCGGAAAACGCCGGGGACCGACGGAACCCACCCAGGGCUGGGUGGGGGCUUUGGGUUCGGUCCCCCCCGGCCGGUCCUAACCCCGCUCUCCGCCCGCAGCCGCCGGGAUGA